Molecule: ribosomal RNA, 467 nt
Filed under: uncultured bacterium
Lineage: Bacteria
Description: bacterial SSU rRNA
Rfam family: Bacterial small subunit ribosomal RNA
Source: RNAcentral
GCCAGACUCCUACGGGAGGCAGCAGUGAGGAAUAUUGGUCAAUGGGCUUACGCCUGAACCAGCCAAGUCGCGUGAGGGAAGACUGCCCUAUGGGUUGUAAACCUCUUUUGUCAGGGAGCAACGCCGGCUACGUGUAGCCGGACUGAGAGUACCUGAAGAAAAAGCAUCGGCUAACUCCGUGCCAGCAGCCGCGGUAAUACGGAGGAUGCGAGCGUUAUCCGGAUUUAUUGGGUUUAAAGGGUGCGUAGGCGGAAUGCCAAGUCAGCGGUAAAAUCGCGGGGCUCAACCUCGCUCCGCCGUUGAAACUGGCGGCCUCGAGUGGGCGAGAAGUAUGCGGAAUGCGUGGUGUAGCGGUGAAAUGCAUAGAUAUCACGCAGAACCCCGAUUGCGAAGGCAGCAUACCGGCGCCCUACUGACGCUGAGGCACGAAAGUGCGGGUAUCGAACAGGAUUAGAUACCCGUGUAGA